CCCUUAGACGUUCUGGGCCGCACGCGCGCUACACUGACCAGUGCAACAAGCAUCCGUCCUUGGCCGACAGGCCCGGGCAAUCUUUGAACGCUGGUCGUGAUGGGGAUAGACUUUUGCAAUUUUUGGUCUUCAACGAGGAAUUCCUAGUAAACGCAAGUCAUCAACUUGCAUUGAUUACGUCCCUGCCCUCUGUACACACCGCCCGUCGCACCUACCGAUUGAAUGGUCCGGUGAAGCCUCCGGAUUGGCGCGCACCUCGGUGCCGCCGAGAAGUUGGCUAAACCUUACCAUUUAGAGGAAGGUGAAGUCGUAACA
Molecule: ribosomal RNA, 315 nt
Filed under: uncultured eukaryote
Lineage: Eukaryota
Description: partial 18S ribosomal RNA
Rfam family: Eukaryotic small subunit ribosomal RNA
Source: RNAcentral